This 74-nucleotide transfer RNA is filed under the name Acinetobacter thutiue. Its description in RNAcentral is "tRNA-Ile". Lineage: Bacteria; Pseudomonadati; Pseudomonadota; Gammaproteobacteria; Moraxellales; Moraxellaceae. The record is from RNAcentral.
GGGCUGAAGUAGCUGAUGGGAAAGCAUCGGAGUUUAUACUUCGUCUAUUUGGGUUCGAGUCCCAAACCAGCUCA